CAGCAAGGAUCAACAGUCAUUGGCCUAUCAACGCAAACAAAAUAAAACUCCAGAUACUGCCAUUAGAUGACAGUAUUACAGAGCCAAGAAGCACUAUACAGACCAACUUAAGCUUGCAGCACAACCUUUUUUCAGCAUCUCCUUCUCAGCCUUGUCAGCAAUGCCUGUCAAAUAUUUCAAAAUUAGAAGUCCAUUCAAACUGUAGAUAUUCAAAAGAGACGUUGUACUGAACUGAACAAACAUGUAGUGCAUAAACAUCUCAGACUCCCAUGUACUGUGCUGAACAAAUCAUAUGUAUCAGUGAGAAGAAAAACACCUCACUCUAUCAUGUAUUGUACUGAACAAGCAUGUAGUGUGUAAACAGCAACAAGAUAUUGCAGUAGCAAAGACAAAAAUUAUCAUGUAGUGUGUAAACAGCAACAAAAUAUUGCAGUAGCAAAGACAAAAAUUAUGCAACACGAAAGAGACCAAGAGAAAAAAUAUUGUCAUCCACAUCAUACAGGUUUUGCAAAGAAUAUAGUACACUGGAAGAAGAAUGGAGAUAGUACCUUCUACAUUAAAACAUCUACUCGUCAUCGCUGUCGAUAUCCAUUGUGGCACCUCCUUCGUUUUCACUGCAAUACUCCAAACCUGUAUCAUCUUCUUCAUCUUCGUCGCCACCUUCAUACAUUUUUGUGGUUUUAUCUUUCAUCAAACGAGCAACAACAUCAGCUUCAAAAGUAAUGCCUUGCUCAUCAUCUCUAUGCAAAGGCUUUUCAGAUGUAAGGUCAGAAACUGAUGUUCUCCUACCCUCCUCUUCACAACACUCCUCCUCUUGAUAUGCAGGACCACUAAAAGGUACACCCUCAGUUUCACUAAUAUUGAA
RNAcentral lists this long non-coding RNA (865 nucleotides) under Triticum aestivum (bread wheat). RNAcentral's name for it is "long non-coding RNA (TAES_LNC003771)". The record is from RNAcentral. Lineage: Eukaryota; Viridiplantae; Streptophyta; Magnoliopsida; Poales; Poaceae.